UCCCAUUACAAUAAAGAAACUCAGGUCAUAAACAAACAUCAUCAUGCUGCAUCAACUCACUAAAUUUCCAUAUAUCUAUUGCGAUGAUAUGCUAAGCAUCAGUUUUAAAAAGCUCGAUUUUUUAGACAUCAGAGACCCCAGAGGAUCUCAGUCUAUGUAAUUGUUAACAUCACCUGCAGCAUAUCAUCGCAACUGACAAGCUCUAGAAGCAUCUCCUCAUUAACAUCAAAUGCUCGGCCUCCCAUUACAAUAAAGAAACUCAGGUCAUACACAAACAUCAUCAUGCUGCAUCAACUCACUAAAUUUCCAUAUAUCUAUUGCGAUGAUAUGCUAAGCAUCAGUUUUAAAAAGCUCGAUUUUUUAGACAUCAGAGACCCCAGAGGAUCUCAGUCUAUGUAAUUGUUAAC
This 407-nucleotide long non-coding RNA is filed under the name Setaria viridis. Its description in RNAcentral is "long non-coding RNA (SVIR_LNC003843)". Lineage: Eukaryota; Viridiplantae; Streptophyta; Magnoliopsida; Poales; Poaceae. The record is from RNAcentral.